GUAAGAGAGAUAAUCGGACACUAGAUUUUCUUUUUCUGUUUUAACCAAAAAACUCUGUGACAUGCAUUUGUUGUUUGCACCCUCAUGUGAGUCCUGAAGCGGGCAUGCUCACAGGGACUGCCAUUGCAGCUGUCCCUGGGGUGGAACCUGAGGGCUUCUGGAGGCUCAGUUCUUCACAGACAGGACCACACGGGUGCCAUGGACCACAGGGGCAGAGCAUUGUAAUUUGCAAAAGCACCCAUUGCUCAUGACGGGACAGGCUCUUGGAGUAACUGUAACUGGUUUCCUCAUACCCAGUUCCUCCCAGCUCCUGGGAAAUCCCAGCUCCUCCACCUGGCCACCAGCCUCCAAACCCUGCCUUCCCCUGACCUUCCUGUGUAAGGACGGCCAAUGCCUCCCCGUACGUGCAGGGUAGAGUCUGAGCUUUCUCCAUUCCUGGGAGGCCCCAGCCCUGCUCUCCAGCUUACUCCUCCCAAGGUCGCCUCUUUGGGUCAAGCCACAGUCAGCUUUUUUCAGCUGUAGCACACCUAUGUCUCUGUACCUUUGCCCAUGUUGUUCCUUCUGUAGGGAGUUCCUUUUCCUUCUCCUCAGCCCAGUGAGCUCCUAUUC
Molecule: long non-coding RNA, 609 nt
Filed under: Pan troglodytes (chimpanzee)
Lineage: Eukaryota; Metazoa; Chordata; Mammalia; Primates; Hominidae
Description: long non-coding RNA NONPTRT008880
Source: RNAcentral